RNAcentral lists this ribosomal RNA (245 nucleotides) under uncultured bacterium. Its description in RNAcentral is "partial 16S ribosomal RNA". It matches the Rfam family "Bacterial small subunit ribosomal RNA", at positions 111 to 354 of the family's 1533-position model. The record is from RNAcentral.
UAACGCGUGAGCAACCUGCCUUUCAGAGGGGGAUAACAGUUGGAAACGACUGCUAAUACCGCAUAACGCUGCGAUGGGGCAUCCCGAUGCAGCCAAAGGAGCAAUCCGCUGAAAGAUGGGCUCGCGGCCGAUUAGCUAGUUGGUGGGGCAACGGCCCACCAAGGCGACGAUCGGUAGCCGGACUGAGAGGUUGAUCGGCCACAUUGGGACUGAGACACGGCCCAGACUCCUACGGAAGGCAGCAG